This 439-nucleotide ribosomal RNA is filed under the name uncultured bacterium. Its description in RNAcentral is "partial 16S ribosomal RNA". It matches the Rfam family "Bacterial small subunit ribosomal RNA", at positions 339 to 795 of the family's 1533-position model. The record is from RNAcentral.
CUACGGGGUGCAGCAGUGGGGAAUAUUGCACAAUGGGCGAAAGCCUGAUGCAGCAACGCCGCGUGAGCGAUGAAGGCCUUCGGGUCGUAAAGCUCUGUCCUCAAGGAAGAAUUUUGACGGUACUUGAGGAGGAAGCCCCGGCUAACUACGUGCCAGCAGCCGCGGUAAUACGUAGGGGGCUAGCGUUAUCCGGAAUUACUGGGCGUAAAGGGUGCGUAGGUGGUCUGACAAGUCGGGGGUGAAAGGCUACGGCUCAACCGUAGUAAGCCUUUGAAACUGUCGGACUUGAGUGCAGGAGAGGAAAGUGGAAUUCCCAGUGUAGCGGUGAAAUGCGUAGAUAUUGGGAGGAACAUCAGUGGCGAAGGCGACUUUCUGGACUGUAACUGACACUGAGGCACGAAAGCGUGGGGAGCAAACAGGAUUAGAUACCCCUGUAGUC